This 385-nucleotide long non-coding RNA is filed under the name Callithrix jacchus (white-tufted-ear marmoset). RNAcentral's name for it is "lncRNA (ENSCJAG00000077289.1)". Lineage: Eukaryota; Metazoa; Chordata; Mammalia; Primates; Cebidae. The record is from RNAcentral.
CUUUAGAAGAGUCCAGGAACCCAUGAGAUUCUUUGGUGACUACAAAUUCUGAUCUCCUUUAAAGGUCAUGAGAACUGUGAGAACCCCAUUAGAGCGAAAUGAAUUUUAAGGUGACCAACCAGCAGAACACACCUUCAGAAUCAGGCAGGGCUGUCAGGGAAGACAGAUCAAGAGCUCACACAAGGGACUGCAGCUUUGGCCUCACUCCUGUGUCAUUCAAAGAGAUCUGCCAGAUGCUUAGAGCGUGCUUGGAGGAAAAGGAUAAAGAAGCCCAGACAGUUUAAUAGUAAAAGACCCCUGUACACCCUGAUUGUAAGCAAAAGACUAUAGGUUUGUAUGAUAAAAUAUUACCACUUAAUUGUGGUCAUGGCCAGAAUUAAUCACA